This 580-nucleotide ribosomal RNA is filed under the name uncultured euryarchaeote. RNAcentral describes it as "bacterial SSU rRNA". It matches the Rfam family "Archaeal small subunit ribosomal RNA", at positions 421 to 1000 of the family's 1478-position model. Lineage: Archaea; Methanobacteriati; Methanobacteriota. The record is from RNAcentral.
AAAAAGGUAGAUGAAUAAGGAUUGGGCAAGACCGGUGCCAGCCGCCGCGGUAAUCCCGGCGGUYCAAGUCGCAUCCACAAUUAUUGGGUCUAAAACAUUCGUAGCUUGUUUUGUAAGUCUCUUGUGAAAUUCCAUAUCUCAAGUAUGGAGCGUGCAAGAGAUACUGCAUUACUAGAGACCGGAAGACGCAAAGAGUAUGAUUGAGGUAGUGGUAAAAUAUGUUAAUCUUAAUCAGACUAACAAUGGCGAAGGCACUUUGCGAGUACGGAUCUGACAGUGAGGGAUGAAGGCUAGGGGCGCAAAAGGGAUUAGAUACCCCUGUAGUCCUAGCAGUAAACGCUGCUCACUAAACAUUAGCACCUCCUCGAGAGGCGUUAGUGCUGUAGCGAAGGCGAAGAGUGAGCUACCUGGGAAGUAUAGUCGCAAGACCGAAACUUAAAGGAAUUGGCGGGGAGGCACUACAACGGGUGACGCGUGCGGUUCAAUUAGACUCUACACCGUGAAUCUCACCAGGACCGACAGCAGAAUGAAGGUCAGUCUGAAGGGCUUACCUGACACGCUGAGAGGUGGUGCAUGGCCA